Long non-coding RNA from Herpailurus yagouaroundi (jaguarundi), 1213 nucleotides. RefSeq lists it as uncharacterized. NCBI's taxonomy places the organism in Eukaryota, Metazoa, Chordata, Mammalia, Carnivora, Felidae. The transcript is spliced from 2 exons. The record is from RefSeq and is a predicted model, not a curated record.
GCUCUAUAGGUCUGGACCAAAAGAACUCCAGACAGCAAGCAGCUGAAUUCACCAAUGAUGAACAGUAGUCUUUCAAAAUCACAUAAAUUUUGGAGUACGUAAGAAGAACAAAAAUGAACAAGUGUUUCCAUUUGCCCCAAAAGGAAAAAGCCUCAAAAGGGAAGUGGAGAAAGCUUUGCAGGGGACUUGCUUGGGAUCCUGGAUCUUCUGGAGUUAAUAAGAUAGGGCAGAAUGAAUGGUUUGCAGCCAUUGUUGGGGGGAAAAAGACCUGAUGCCUGCUGUAUUCAAACAACUGUCUGUUGAAGAGAGCUGAACACCAAAGUUGGAGAACCACUGCUAUUGAUUGACUUUUCCUGCUUCUCUAUUUCCCCUUUGUCUUCUCUCUGCAAAUCCCCAGCACCUUUGUUGCUACCUGCUGGUGGCGAGAAGAGUCUUGGUGCUAGAGCUUUUGUAAACAUUAAUUUUAAAAUGGGAUAAGCUGCAUGUCUGUAAGUAGAACAAUUCCUGAAGUUAAAUACCAGACUUAUGAAGAAGCAAUAUUAUAGAUAAAGCAUAAAUUUUCUUCUCAAUUCCUAAUGACUUACCGUUUCAAAUCAAGACAUGCAGAGAUUUGAGGAGGACAGAAAACUUCUAAACACCUUCUCUUUUCAUUUGUGAUUACAUCUGAAAUUUAAAGUUGUGGUUCAAUUUUCAUUUUACUUUUUUCCUUAAUAAAAUACUUCUGAGGCAUGAGGUUGUUAGACAUAAACUUAUUUAGAUAAUUUUUUUGUUCUUUUGUGUAAACAUAGAAUUUGUUAUAUGAUUAUAUAUGUUAAUUAUAAAAAUUAAAUGUUAUUCAUAUUGAAAAUGAGAACUAAUCACUGUUGACAUUUUGUUUAAUAGAGUUAUUGUUCUUUCCCUCCUUCCCUCUCUUCUUCCCUUCCUCCCUCCCUUCCUUCCUUCCUUCCUUCCUUCCUUCCUUCCUUCCUUCCUUCUCUCAUUCCUUCCCCUUUAAAUAAUGCAAACUAUGAUCGUAAUAUACAUACUCUUAUGAUCUGUUUUUCGACUUGCCUGUGUAUAUUGGACAUUUUACCAUGUAAACACAUUCUCCCUCAAGAUUUCAUGGCUGCAUAGUUUAUUACUAAAUUCAUUGUAUCAUUUAUUAUUAGAAUUUAGUAAUAAUUCCUCUUGACAUGUUUGUUUUUUUAGAAUAAAUUUCUGCAAUUGAAAUUGA